GUUUGAUCCUGGCUCAGGAUGAACGCUGGCGGCGUGCUUAACACAUGCAAGUCGAACGAUGAAGCCCAGCUUGCUGGGUGGAUUAGUGGCGAACGGGUGAGUAACACGUGAGUAACCUGCCCCCGACUCUGGGAUAAGCCCGGGAAACUGGGUCUAAUACCGGAUAUGACCUCGCACCGCAUGGUGCGGGGUGGAAAGAUUUAUCGGUGGGGGAUGGACUCGCGGCCUAUCAGCUUGUUGGUGAGGUAAUGGCUCACCAAGGCGACGACGGGUAGCCGGCCUGAGAGGGUGACCGGCCACACUGGGACUGAGACACGGCCCAGACUCCUACGGGAGGCAGCAGUGGGGAAUAUUGCACAAUGGGCGCAAGCCUGAUGCAGCGACGCCGCGUGAGGGAUGACGGCCUUCGGGUUGUAAACCUGCUUUCAGUAGGGAAGAAGCGAAAGUGACGG
RNAcentral lists this ribosomal RNA (452 nucleotides) under Glutamicibacter nicotianae. Its description in RNAcentral is "bacterial SSU rRNA". It matches the Rfam family "Bacterial small subunit ribosomal RNA", at positions 11 to 475 of the family's 1533-position model. Lineage: Bacteria; Bacillati; Actinomycetota; Actinomycetes; Micrococcales; Micrococcaceae. The record is from RNAcentral.